AUGUUGCCAACCUGCCUUACAGAUCUGAGCCUUACAGCUCUGAGAGUUUUGCAUCUUCACUUGGAGACGAUCAUAAGUUAUUACUCUCCUCAGUUAACCAAUAGCUUGUUCUUCCCAGAUCCUAAUUCACGGGAUCUCCGAUCACAAAGGUUGGGUUACUACUAUGGUGUAACAUCUAUGGGUCUCAUACCCAUCUCCCUCGAUGCAAUAUCUAUCACAUUUCGUGAUAGUCCCUUUGUAAAGGGAUCUGCCAGGUUUUUGUCUGUUUGUAUAUACGUAACAGUUAUUACUCCGGAGUUUCUCAACUUCCUGACAGACUUCAAACGUCUUUUCACGUGUCUUGAUGACUUUGCAUUAUCUUUAGAAUUGUUCACUUUAGCGAUAACCGUUUGGUUAUCACAAUUCAUAAGAAUAGCCGGUACAAGUUUUUCAACAACCGGCAAGUCCAUCAAGAGCUCACGCAACCAUUCUGCCUCAACAGUAGCUGUGUCCAAAGCAGUUAAUUCUGCUUCCAUAGUUGACCUCGUCAAUAUGGUUUGCUUGCAAGACCUCCAUGACACUGCGCCACCACCAUGA
Molecule: ribosomal RNA, 576 nt
Filed under: Triticum aestivum (bread wheat)
Lineage: Eukaryota; Viridiplantae; Streptophyta; Magnoliopsida; Poales; Poaceae
Description: partial small subunit ribosomal RNA
Source: RNAcentral